Molecule: transfer RNA, 75 nt
Filed under: Candidatus Woykebacteria bacterium RBG_19FT_COMBO_43_10
Lineage: Bacteria; Candidatus Woykeibacteriota
Description: tRNA-His
Rfam family: tRNA
About the family: Transfer RNA (tRNA) molecules are approximately 80 nucleotides in length. Their secondary structure includes four short double-helical elements and three loops (D, anti-codon, and T loops). Further hydrogen bonds mediate the characteristic L-shaped molecular structure. tRNAs have two regions of fundamental functional importance: the anti-codon, which is responsible for specific mRNA codon recognition, and the 3' end, to which the tRNAs corresponding amino acid is attached (by aminoacyl-tRNA synthetases). tRNAs cope with the degeneracy of the genetic code in two manners: having more than one tRNA (with a specific anti-codon) for a particular amino acid; and 'wobble' base-pairing, i.e. permitting non-standard base-pairing at the 3rd anti-codon position.
Source: RNAcentral
GUGGCUGUAGCUCAAUGGCAGAGCGUCAGGUUGUGGACCUGAUGGUUGCCGGUUCGAAUCCGGUCAGCCACCCCA